AACCAAGUUGACUCAAUCAAGAAAGAUUUGAGCUUCAUAGAAACCUUACCUGAAGAUGUCGAAGGCAUGGAAGAAGACUUGGCUUUGAGAGAGAAGAUAUGGGUCUUGGAAAUGAAAGAUGUUGCGGUUCAUGUAAAGGCUCUUGAUGACUUGGUUUUGAGACAUCAGCCAGAGAGGAAAGGAGUUUUCAACAACAUGAUGUCUCGAAGGAAAGUUUCCAAGGAGAUCGAUCAAAUUAAAAGAAAAAUUGCUGAACUGAACAGAAAGAAGCGGAUAUAUGACA
This 283-nucleotide unclassified non-coding RNA is filed under the name Hevea brasiliensis (rubber tree). Lineage: Eukaryota; Viridiplantae; Streptophyta; Magnoliopsida; Malpighiales; Euphorbiaceae. The record is from RNAcentral.